GGCGAGGUGGCCGAGUGGUGAAGGCGAUAGACUGCUAAUCCAUUGCCGAAUGGGUUUGAGUCCCACCCUCGUCG
Molecule: non-coding RNA, 74 nt
Organism: Rhipicephalus microplus (southern cattle tick)
Lineage: Eukaryota; Metazoa; Arthropoda; Arachnida; Ixodida; Ixodidae
Source: the annotation of a RefSeq genome assembly